Non-coding RNA from Biomphalaria pfeifferi, 1015 nucleotides. NCBI's taxonomy places the organism in Eukaryota, Metazoa, Mollusca, Gastropoda, Planorbidae. The record is from the annotation of a GenBank genome assembly.
AAAAAAAAGCUGAAAAUGAUACAUUAAUUGAAAAUUUAAAUAUUAAACUUCUGUUACCUUCUAUAAUAUACCUAAGACCCAAUGUCACAUUUUUGUCUUAGCCAAUGUGGUAUCUGUGCCUUUUUUUUCCCUUAUUAUUUCUCUGUGUUGUUAAGAAGGGUAAAAUUAAGAUCAACCUGAUUCUGCUUCUUUUUGUGUGUUCCUAUUUAACUUAUUAACUUAUCCUAUUCAUAAAGCAGAUCAGGUUGGCAAAUCACAAGUAUAAUAAUAUUUUUUUUUACAAAGACCCUUAAUUCUUCACCUUCCAAUACUGCAUGUGCCUGAUGCACACAUUCCCUUUACAGUAAUAAAUAGAAAUUCUCUUUUCUUUUACCUGUGACCCUGACUUUCAUUCAUAACGUAAUUGUCAGAAGUAGUUUAAGUAGUGAAACUAUUUUGGACUGAAACUAGAAUCGGUAUAUUACAUCCUAUUGUUUGACUUAUUGUAAAUGCAUCUAAAGUCGUUGUUUUCAAUGGUGCCAUUUUCAUAAGCAAUUACACGUACUAUUAGUUUUAUUUUUUAACUACUCAAAAAAAUACAAAAUUAUUCUGCAUUGUAAAAAAUGAAUUUUAAGGACACUUAAAAUAUGUAAUGUUAUCUAUAAAAAUAUUUAGCUAUUAAAGACUUGUCAUCAAGGCUUAUUCUUCAAACCUUUGUCCUGGAGCUAAUUCUGUUUGCUGUAUGUGGCUGCAAUGAUAUUGUCCAUUUAAUUAGCAUUUGCAUUCAUGUUUUAGUCUUGGUCUUCAUCAAGCUGCAUUUACAUGUCAACAACUUUUAUUUAACCCCCCCCCAGGUUUAAUGAAUGUGAAUGUCUAAAAGUUGCCAAAAUUGGUUAUUUCCUUCUGUAAUGAACAUUUCCUUUUUUUCAUCUCCCUAUAUUAGGAAAUCAUUUUUUGUACAUCUUUGUCUCUUAUAAAUGUUUUACCAGACUCAGACUUCAUGUGACAGUCCUAGUAAGUAACUUAACCUUUCACC